GUCCUGAUAGUAUCCUUCCCGGUAACUUUCGGAAGCCUCUGCAACCUGAAAAGGGUCCGCGACUAUAAAUAUAGGAUGCAAGUAGCCUGACGGCUGCAACAUAAUCGAAUUGCGGGGACGUCCUAAAGCCUAACGGUACCAACUCUCUGGGGAAACUCAAAGAGGGCUUGUGCUAAUCACACAGGGGGGUAAGAACCCGUAGGAUAUUACAAUGGAUAAUCCGCAGCGAAGCCCCUAAUGGCGCAAGCCCACGGGGAACGUCCACAGACUAAGUGGUUAUGGGUAGACAUGCUCUGCUUAAGAUAUAGUCGGUCACUGUGAGAAAUUACAGUGGAUAUACGUUCCGUAGGUGAACCUGCGGAAGGAUCAUUACAGAGUUCUUGCCCUCACGGGUAGAAUCUCCACCCUUGUAAAUAUAACUAUUUGUUGCUUUGGCGGGCCGUACGCCCAGCGUACCCGGGUCUCGGUCAGGUGCGCCCGCCAGAGGACCCAAAAUUCUGAAUUAUUAUGUCGUCUGAGUACUAUAAAAUAGUUAAAACUUUCAACAACGGAUCUCUUGGUUCUGGCAUCGAUGAAGAACGCAGCGAAAUGCGAUAAGUAAUGUGAAUUGCAGAAUUCAGUGAAUCAUCGAAUCUUUGAACGCACAUUGCGCCCCUUGGUAUUCCGGGGGGCAUGCCUGUUCGAGCGUCAUUAUAACCAAUCCAGCUUGGCUGGGUCCUUGGGCUUCGCCGUCUGGCGGGCCUUAAAGCUAGUGGCGGUGCUCUCAAGCUCUACGCGUAGUAAUUUAUCUCUCGCUAUAGGGUCUUGUGAGAUGCUUGCCAUCAACCCCCGAUUUUCUAGGUUGACCUCGGAUCAGG
RNAcentral lists this small RNA (857 nucleotides) under Dasyscyphella sp. FC-2209. Its description in RNAcentral is "eukaryotic LSU rRNA". The stretch from base 537 to 690 matches the Rfam family "5.8S ribosomal RNA". Lineage: Eukaryota; Fungi; Ascomycota; Leotiomycetes; Helotiales; Lachnaceae. The record is from RNAcentral.